Molecule: long non-coding RNA, 206 nt
Filed under: Lathyrus oleraceus (garden pea)
Lineage: Eukaryota; Viridiplantae; Streptophyta; Magnoliopsida; Fabales; Fabaceae
Description: Pisum sativum (pea) long non-coding RNA (PSAT_LNC030520)
Source: RNAcentral
UUUAGGUUAGCUUGCACCCCAAGCCAAAACCCAAAACUAUAAAAGCCCAAAAUAUAUAACACUACUAAAAUAGGCAUAAGUCGAAAUCAUGCAUGUAGCAACAUGCUUCGACACUUCGACACACUAAUACCAUUCAAGACACUAGGUGAUUCGACAAUUCCUUGCUUCUGUCGAGCAACCUGCUUUGACACAAGUAAUUACAAUUC